GGGUGGUAAAGGUGGGAUUAUUAAAAAAUAUGUCGUAGGUGGGCUUAAUAAAAGAAAAUCGGCCAAAGGUUGGAUUAAUAUUACCAAAUUUUCCAACUUAAUUUGGGUGUCCUCUUUCCGCCAACUCAAAACCCUCACUCAAUUUCAUCUUUCCGAAAUUAACUGUAGGACUUCUCACUCAAUUCUCACAUCUCCUUUUUUCUGGGUUUUCAAGAUUCAACUCGUUCUCGUCGGCGUCGGAGCUGCAGCCUGCAGACAACGCCUCUUUGUCAGAUCUGAAUCAAAAGAUCAUCGUCCAUGGCAGAAAAUGUCGGAUAAUACACAAAUCUUUUGUUCAACCAAUUUCGAUACAGGACUAUCAAGUAAAAGCAUCAGCCUACCUUUUGAAACCGACCAGCUUGGCCAACAUUCUGUAAUCCUGAUUUACCUGGAGGUAUAUUUUUCACUUAAGUUAACUUAAUUUUGUAUUGUUGUUGUUGUUGUUGUUGUUGUUUUGGUCCCUUAGGAAGAUUUGGAGUGGAAGUGGAAGGGAAGUGUUUACUGCUGCUGGUGGUUGUACUCAGUUCAUUUCAGCUGGGAAAUAUAAGAUACAGAAAAUGUAUAAGCAUCUGAAACAGAAUGGGCCAAAAGUUGAAUGGAGAAGACUCAUAUGCAAUAACUCAGCUAGUCCAAAGAGCAUCUUCCUGCCAUUGCUUACAGUGCAAAAUAGAUUACCUACUAAGGACAAAUUGAUGCAAUGGAAUAUCAAUGUGGAUGCAAUUUGUAGUUUGUGUUAGCAGGAGCCUGAGAAUAUGCAUCAUUUGUUCUUCCAGUGUCCCGUGUCAGCUGAUAUCUGGAAUACUGUGAAACUCAAGAUUGGUGUUGGUAGACCUACUGGUAUGUUUGCUGAUGAGGUUUAAUGGAUCACAAAGAAGAGUAGAAGCAGCAAACCAGAAGACAAGGUUGUGUGUGCAGCUUUUGCUGAAACAGUUUACCAUAUUUGCCUCCAGAGGAAUGCUAAAAUCUUUAGCAAUAAACUUGACAAUUGUAAUGCUGUUGUUUCUAGAAUUCUGUUCCAUGUAGCAUGUAGGUGUACUAAGGAAAUGAAUUCUGUUUUGCUUAGGUAGUGGUUGAGGGGGAAACCACCAUGUUGGUGUGUGUUCCUUCCUUCCAGUUUGAGGUGAGCUGUUGUGUUGGUGUGCUGUUGUAAUUAUCCUAUUUUUAGUAAUAAAACUCCUUAUUUUCCA
Long non-coding RNA from Spinacia oleracea (spinach), 1226 nucleotides. RefSeq lists it as uncharacterized. The record is from RefSeq and is a predicted model, not a curated record. The transcript is spliced from 2 exons. Lineage: Eukaryota; Viridiplantae; Streptophyta; Magnoliopsida; Caryophyllales; Amaranthaceae.